Molecule: ribosomal RNA, 465 nt
Filed under: Vreelandella stevensii
Lineage: Bacteria; Pseudomonadati; Pseudomonadota; Gammaproteobacteria; Oceanospirillales; Halomonadaceae
Description: partial 16S ribosomal RNA
Rfam family: Bacterial small subunit ribosomal RNA
Source: RNAcentral
CCUACGGGGGGCUGCAGUGGGGAAUAUUGGACAAUGGGGGCAACCCUGAUCCAGCCAUGCCGCGUGUGUGAAGAAGGCCCUCGGGUUGUAAAGCACUUUCAGUGAGGAAGAACGCCUGGUGGUUAAUACCCAUCAGGAAAGACAUCACUCACAGAAGAAGCACCGGCUAACUCCGUGCCAGCAGCCGCGGUAAUACGGAGGGUGCGAGCGUUAAUCGGAAUUACUGGGCGUAAAGCGCGCGUAGGUGGCUUGAUAAGCCGGUUGUGAAAGCCCCGGGCUCAACCUGGGAACGGCAUCCGGAACUGUCAAGCUAGAGUGCAGGAGAGGAAGGUAGAAUUCCCGGUGUAGCGGUGAAAUGCGUAGAGAUCGGGAGGAAUACCAGUGGCGAAGGCGGCCUUCUGGACUGACACUGACACUGAGGUGCGAAGGCGUGGGUAGCAAACAGGAUUAGAUACCCUUGUAGUC